GCUGCGAUGGCCGAGUGGUUAAGGCGUUGGACUCGAAAUCCAAUGGGAUAUUCCCGCUCAGGUUCAAAUCCUGCUCGAUGCG
This 82-nucleotide transfer RNA is filed under the name Lottia gigantea (owl limpet). It matches the Rfam family "tRNA". From Rfam's summary of the family: Transfer RNA (tRNA) molecules are approximately 80 nucleotides in length. Lineage: Eukaryota; Metazoa; Mollusca; Gastropoda; Lottiidae. The record is from Rfam by way of RNAcentral.